UAUUUAAUAUCUUUUUGAAACUAAGUGUGCUGCAUAGCAAAUGUAUUUUUACCUUAAGGCCAGUUCAGAUCAAGAAGUCAUCAGCUUAAGAAUAUUUUGCAGUUUUUUCAGUUUUUGUGACCUCUAGGGUUUUAGAACAUUUGCUGAUGGCUGCUGUAGUUUCUUGAGAUUCAGCUUGUCAUAUGUUGAAUCCAGUGUCCAACAUCUCACCAAUUUCAUAGCCCUGUUUUAUUACAAUAUGUUAACCCCUUUUGUCAAUGCAGUGUGGUAGAAUGCUGUGACACGGAGGACCAGGCUUAGAUGCUGGCACUGCAUUGGUUUGAGCAUGUUUACUGCUCAAUGUACGCUGCAUGGCCAAAAGUAUGUGGACACCCCUUCUAAUUGGGGUGGGUUACUGUAGCCACACCCAUUACUAACAGGUGCAUAAAAUCUAGCAUACUGCCUUGCAAUCUCUAUAGACAAACAUUGGUAGUAGAAUGAGUCAUACUGAAGAGCUUGGUGACUUUCAACAUGGCACUGUCAUAGGAUGCCACCUCUGCCCUGCUAGAGCUGCCCUGGUCAACAUUAAGUCUAGGAGUAACCGCAGUUCAUCCAUGAGGCCAGGAGAAUGCUACCUACCCAAAUGCAUAAUGCCAACUGUGAAGUUUGGUGGAGGAUCUUCAUUCUGACCUCAUCUCAUUGUAUUUAAUUUGAGCCAUUGAAGCCUCAUUGGAUUAUAACAAUAUGUUUUAUAACAAGCUCAUUAAUUACUAGUCUUGCCCCAUUUCCAGUCACUGUUCUAGCAAUGUUGUGAUCACAUCACCAAAACAUUGCUGUCAUGUUCUAACCACACUGACUUCUAAAAACCACUGUCUGACAUUAUAUCCGACGUUCUUAUCCCAUUAAAUACAGGAAAUAAAAUCUGUAACGUAGUUUUUGACACUCGUUUCUUAUGGUUGUGUUUAUUAUCCAAAGCCUCAUUUGUGACAAAACAUGACAAUUAUGUGUAAUCUCUGCUUUGAAGUAAAUUACUGAGAGAUAACUUCACCUACCUGGAGUUUAUUGAACUGAUGUCUUUUGGAACACCUGCAUGACUCACACCUCUUAUGUGUUUGCCUGUUGUCAGAGACUUUCAUUUUAGUCCAGAUUGAUGCCGGAUACAUAACAUUAUACUAUAUACUAUAUUAUGUUAUAUAUUAACAAUGGCUUUGUAGUUAAUGUUUGUAACCUAUUUGUGUUAACUUUGAACUGGAAAAAAAAGAAAUCAUGUGUGAGAGAUACAGUACAUGGUCUAAUAUCACUCAUUUUCCCAAGCAUCGUUGGUGUGUGCUGCUGCAAUGGCUAAAAGCUUAAAAGCUUUGCAGCGAUCCGUAUGAGAACAAUGACUCUGGCUUGGGGCUCCGCAGUGUAAUGCAUCUCCUGCUUUUCUUCUGCGAGCGCCCCUUUCAUAGAACAUCUUCAUUCCACUGGCAACGGAGAACUGAAAAAGAUCUGAGACAUUUAUUUUCGUGUUCUCAAAAUAACACUCCAUUGUAAUGGGCUUGCUUUUAUGGAUUUUUAUGGAAAUGUUGUCUUCCAUUGGGGUUGCAGCUGGCCUAAAGGGUGCUAUAGGCCAGCUGUACAGAACCAAACCAUGCAGAUAAUCUAACCAAGUCACAGGGGUUAAACAUUAGAUUUUAGUACUGGGAAGGGUUAUUACUCAGCAGUUAUAAAAGCCUUUUAGAGCAAAAAUGUAACCAUGUCACAAUCUGAAGGCCAAAUUUUUAGAUUAUGCAUUUCGCUAAAAGGUGUAUGUGUUUAGCUAGUUUCUCAAAGUACUGCCGAUGUUGUAUUAAAAAUGUAUUUACCAAAAUACGUACGUAUCUCUUCAAAAUUGUCUGCAUGUAUUGAGAUGAUAGUUAAAAUGCUAUGGACCUGUAAAGUUAGGAGUCCGCACCUUUGCUAUAAAAGUUCAGUCAAAAUGCAACACAAAGAAUGUGUAAUGCUUUACUCUUUGGUGGUUAGCAUAAUAGUUGAAAGAACACAAUUUCUCUUAUAUAUAUAAACAAGACCAAGUUAAAACCUAGUAUAUGGCUGGACCUAACACACGUGAUCCGGCCGACCAAUGGUGUAACUUCAUCACUCAGUCACUCAGUCACAGACAUUCGUGUUUGUAGGGCUGGCCCCGCUGUUGUGGUCCAGCCAAAAA
Molecule: long non-coding RNA, 2167 nt
Organism: Anguilla rostrata (American eel)
Lineage: Eukaryota; Metazoa; Chordata; Actinopteri; Anguilliformes; Anguillidae
Exons: 2
Source: RefSeq, a predicted model, not a curated record